Long non-coding RNA from Oxyura jamaicensis (ruddy duck), 1539 nucleotides. RefSeq lists it as uncharacterized. The transcript has 4 exons. NCBI's taxonomy places the organism in Eukaryota, Metazoa, Chordata, Aves, Anseriformes, Anatidae. The record is from RefSeq and is a predicted model, not a curated record.
ACUGCUGUUUUUUUCCCCAGAAUACUGAUGGCCCGAAGAGGUGCAGUCGAAGUACUGUAUAAAUACUGGUUGUACAGUUGUACAUGGACACCUUUGCUGAAGUGGCUAAGGACCAGAGCUAGCUAUUUCCUUCUCAAAACCUAUAUAUAUAUAUCACAUGAUUUUAGAAGAUUCCCUAUUUGGAGCCUGCAUGGUUUGUGAAGAAAACGUGGAUUUAAGGCACGUAUGCUUGAUUAAGGUGUCUAACAGAACAUGAUUGAUGGCAUCAGGCUGUCUCUAAUGGAUAUAUUUGUCUGCAUUACAAAAGAACUUCCUGCAGUCUGGACUUUUGCGUCAGAGAGGUUCAGGAUUUGGAAGGUACAGUUUUGCAGCCCAGAAUGAAAACAUGCUGGUAGACCUAUACAGAAUAUGUUUGUAUUCUAUUGUGUUUAUAAUAACCAGAGUGACAUCUAUGUUUUCAGGGACUGCUUGAAUGAAAUAAAGAAUGAAAUGGUAGGGGCUUGGUAUGGUCUCUGCUGCUGGGGAAGGCUAAAGAGAAAUUUGAAUCAUCUCUGUACCCUUCUGAUUUCAGGCUUUGUGAUAGAAAACAAGCAUUUUUUUGUGUGUUGGAUACCAAAUAGCAUGCACUGAGAUUGAAGUCCAAAUUAGGUUUCUUCCAAGUUUAAUCAGUUUUAUAUAUGUGGUAACAUACACACUUCUAAUAGCUGUCAUUUUCCAUCAAGAAUUUUCUGGUUGUCGGUGCUUCAAGAUGCAUGUAACACCUCCCUGCUUGCUGCUUCGCUAAUAGCACCAUGUGAUCAGCUCAUGCACUAUUUCCUCAAAUCCCAUUUCCCUGGCCUGCACCUCCUGUUGCAGUUCUGCACAUCUAUUUCUUCUGCAGAGGCAUUCACUUGUCUUCUGAUGGGCUACAAACCUCGUAGUCAUUAGUCUAUUGUCUAAUCAAUUGUCAGUCACAUCUGCAAGUUUCUUUCCGCCAUCCCUCAUCACAGCUGUUGAAGACAGGUUGCUGGGCUGGAUGGACAAAUAUGCAUGCCCAGUAGGGUAUUUCUUAUGCUUGUGCAUCAGUUACACUGUUUAUACAACACAGCUCUAGCUUGCCUAACGGGUUAUAAAGGAGACCGCAAGGAGGUCAGAAGUACACAUUGCUGAUGAAAUGAGUCAUGAAUUUUCUAAACACAUCAUGUUUUCCUCAAAUAAGUUUCUAUUCCACUGCAAGCCUCCUUAUAAUCCGAGUUUUCCCCUAUAAGUAAAUAUAUGAACGUUCUGCCAUAUGGUGUCUGCAAGCAUUAGCAUGUAAUAAAUUACUGAAACCAUAUAAAAUGCUCUCAAAUGUGAUCAGUUAGAGUUUAGCCAAUUUCACUGAAUUCUACAAGUUAACAGGACCACAAGUUUACUUGUUCAUAUGGUACUGGAAGCUGGAGCAGAGGGAUUAAAAAUAAAUUUCCAGAUUUGUGCUGUAUUACAACUGUAAUGACUGCAAGAGUCUGAAUGUGAUAGGAACAAAAAAUGAAAGUGGAAUUUGCCCCAAAAUAUUGGGGG